Molecule: ribosomal RNA, 305 nt
Filed under: uncultured bacterium
Lineage: Bacteria
Description: bacterial SSU rRNA
Rfam family: Bacterial small subunit ribosomal RNA
Source: RNAcentral
UUUUUCCUACGGGACGCAGCAGUGGGGAAUAUUGGACAAUGGGGGGAACCCUGAUCCAGCGACGCCGCGUGAGUGAAGAAGUAUUUCGGUAUGUAAAGCUCUAUCAGCAGGGAAGAAAGAAAUGACGGUACCUGACUAAGAAGCCCCGGCUAACUACGUGCCAGCAGCCGCGGUAAUACGUAGGGGGCAAGCGUUAUCCGGAUUUACUGGGUGUAAAGGGAGCGUAGACGGAGGAGCAAGUCUGAUGUGAAAAUCCGGGGCCCAACCCCGGAACUGCAUUGGAAACUGUUUAUCUAGAGUGUCGG